RNAcentral lists this ribosomal RNA (425 nucleotides) under uncultured bacterium. RNAcentral describes it as "bacterial SSU rRNA". It matches the Rfam family "Bacterial small subunit ribosomal RNA", at positions 608 to 1029 of the family's 1533-position model. The record is from RNAcentral.
CUUAACUGGUAGACUGCGUUUGAAACUGUAUAUCUUGAGUGCGGCAGAGGAGAGUGGAAUUUCUAGUGUAGUGGUGGAAUACGUAGAUAUUAGAAAGAACACCAGUGGCGAAGGCGACUCUCUGGGCUGACACUGACGCUCAGGUACGAAAGCUGGAGGAGCGAACGGGAUUAGAUACCCCGGUAGUUCCAGCUGUAAACGAUGGACACUAGGUGUUGGGGGUUCGAUUCCCUCAGUGCCGUAGUUAACGCAGUAAGUGUCCCGCCUGGGGAUUACGGUCGCAAGACUGAAACUCAAAGGAAUUGACGGGGGCCCGCACGAGCGGUGGAGCAUGUGGUUUAAUUCGAAGCAACGCGAAGAACCUUACCGAGGUUUGACAUCCUGUGACCACCUAUGAAAGUAGGAUCUCGGACUAUGUCCGACAC